RNAcentral lists this ribosomal RNA (507 nucleotides) under uncultured bacterium. Its description in RNAcentral is "partial 16S ribosomal RNA". It matches the Rfam family "Bacterial small subunit ribosomal RNA", at positions 30 to 523 of the family's 1533-position model. The record is from RNAcentral.
AUUGAACGCUGGCGGCAGGCCUAACACAUGCAAGUCGAACGGUAACAGGAAACAGCUUGCUGUUUCGCUGACGAGUGGCGGACGGGUGAGUAAUGUCUGGGAAACUGCCUGAUGGAGGGGGAUAACUACUGGAAACGGUAGCUAAUACCGCAUAACGUCGCAAGACCAAAGAGGGGGACCUUCGGGCCUCUUGCCAUCGGAUGUGCCCAGAUGGGAUUAGCUAGUAGGUGGGGUAACGGCUCACCUAGGCGACGAUCCCUAGCUGGUCUGAGAGGAUGACCAGCCACACUGGAAGUGAGACACGGUCCAGACGCCUACGGGAGGCAGCAGUGGGGAAUAUUGCACAAUGGGCGCAAGCCUGAUGCAGCCAUGCCGCGUGUAUGAAGAAGGCCUUCGGGUUGUAAAGUACUUUCAGCGGGGAAGGAAGGGAGUAAAGUUAAUACCUUUGCUCAUUGACGUUACCCGCAGAAGAAGCACCGGCUAACUCCGUGCCAGCCGCCGCCGUAA